UUGAAUAAAUCUGGCUUGGGUUGUCGCUGGCUCUCCGGAGCAUGUGCACGCUCUCGUCACCUUUAUCUUUCCACCUGUGCACACACUGUAGUCCUGGAUAUCUCUCGUCGAAAGGCGGAUGCGGAGGUUGCUGCUUGCUCGGCUUCCUCUGAAUUUCCAGGUCUAUGAAUUUCUACACACCCAACGUAUGUCUCAGAAUGUGAUCAUUGGGCCUCAUGUGCCUAUACAAUCAAAUA
RNAcentral lists this unclassified non-coding RNA (236 nucleotides) under uncultured Basidiomycota. RNAcentral's name for it is "sequence contains ITS1". Lineage: Eukaryota; Fungi; Basidiomycota. The record is from RNAcentral.